CUCAGCGCGCCGGGGCAACGCCUGGGACCAGCGGGCGCCUCUCCAGCACGGGCACAGCCGGGAUCCUGGGCCGGACCCCCUCGCCCCGCGGGGUGCGGGGAGCCGGCCCGGCGCUGCUGCCCGCGGUCGAUGCAAGCCUGGGACAGAUGUUUUCAAAAUGUUAACUGGUCCUAGAAGAAUUAGAACUGCAUGAUCAAAGUAUCAGAGGUGAUUCUUGCAGAAGAAAAUGAGCUGUGUGCACUCUCAUCACAGAGAAAUACGAGUCCCAUUUCUUCUGACUUCUCAUACAAGUUCCAGGUGCUUUUUCUCAACACCAUUCUGGCGGCUUAGGACUAUGUGAGCAAGUGGAACUUCCCCAACAGCUCGUUCUGUUGUCAGUGGACUGCAGGAGCCUUUUUUACUCUGAAAACAUUGCUGCUAAAAAACUCCAAACAGAAGGAGUAAAUCCACUCAGCUUGUCAGGUCACUGGCUCAGUGAAACGGUGCUUUCAUGAGGUGACGUUGGGCCAAAGUCAACUUUUCUUUCUCCUUUGUAAACCUGCAGCCAAGCAAUGGGCCAGAAAAUCUCAGGGAGCAUAAAAUCUGUGGAUGUGAGGGAGCCCCCUUAUAGACCCGUGAAACGAGAGCUGAGAGGCCCGGAUUUCUGCAAGCCCGCGCGCCUGGACAUGCUGUUGGAUAUGCCCCCUGCCAAGCUGGAGGUCCAGUACAAACACGCUUGGAAUAACGAAGAUCGCUCGUUAAAUAUAUUUGUAAAGGAAGAUGAUAAACUGACUUUUCACAGACACCCGGUGGCCCAAAGCACAGAUUGCAUCCGGGGCAAGGUGGGCUACACGCGGGGCCUGCACGUGUGGCAGAUCCACUGGCCCACGAGGCAGCGGGGCACUCACGCCGUGGUGGGCGUCUCCACGGCCGACGCGCCGCUGCACUCAGUGGGAUACACGUCCUUGGUUGGUAGCAACAAUGAAUCCUGGGGCUGGGAUCUGGGGCGCAACAAACUCUACCACAACUGUAAAAACCAGCCCGGGGUCACGUACCCCGUCUUUUUGGAACCAGAUGAGUCUUUUGUACUCCCAGACUCCUUACUGGUGGUUUUGGAUAUGGAUGAAGGGACGCUUAGCUUCAUGGUUGAUGGACAGUAUCUUGGAGUGGCCUUCAGAGGACUAAAAGGGAAAAAACUUUACCCCAUAGUCAGUGCAGUUUGGGGGCACUGUGAAAUUACAAUGAGAUACAUCAACGGACUUGACCGAAGUUUGAGCACUGAAAUAAAGUCAGCGAGUGCAGGAGCUGAAGAAGCAGGAGCAGCCUGUGUGGAGAAGCCAUGAGGCUCCCAGGGAGAGUGAUGUUCCUGGAGUCUGGCUCUACCCUGGCCAGUUGUGAUCCAAGGUGAUGGAAACCCAUUGGCAUAUUGCUGCAGACUGUUGGAUUUUUUCCUUAAAAUCUUUGAAUAAGAGUAUGAGGAGAAGAAAUCCAAUCCAGGCCUCAUGUGUAUCUGUGAAUAAUGAUCUUCAGGAAGACAGACUCAGGGAAUAAAUCUGGUUUUUAAGAAUGAGCACCUGUUGCUCUCCAUGGAAGCGAUAAUCUGGAGCAGCUGCUGGUCAGGACCAGUGGUAUGAGCUCUUGGCCCUGCUUUAGCACAGGGUGUUCCAGCCCCAUGUGUGGACUCACUGAUCUGCUUUAUGGUAAACACAGGCAGCCCUUGGAUCACGAAGACUGACAAAUGGAAAGUCCCAGAGGACUCCUUGUUGUAGCCCCACAUAAGUUCUUUUGCCCCUGGGAGGAGAUAUCACCCUCCACGCUGCCCUAGGCACUGCCUGCUCCUGUCCUUCCAGCCUCCCUGGAGCACAGAAACCCCCAGUGUUUUAAAGUGAAUAAAUGGUGUUUUCUGGAAGCUGGGAGGAGGAAAAGACAAGUGGAACAGCAGUUGCCUCUUAGCUGUGUUAGAUGGCUGCAACCUAAAGCACAAAACUAGCUCUUGAGAUGACCAGACUUUUAUGCUUCAACUUCUUUCUGUUAAAAUACAAAAGAC
Vidua macroura (Pin-tailed whydah) is the source of this 2026-nucleotide RNA transcript. It is a transcript of the gene named splA/ryanodine receptor domain and SOCS box containing 4, with no coding region annotated. NCBI's taxonomy places the organism in Eukaryota, Metazoa, Chordata, Aves, Passeriformes, Viduidae. The transcript is spliced from 7 exons. The record is from RefSeq and is a predicted model, not a curated record.